This is a long non-coding RNA of Mesocricetus auratus (golden hamster), 624 nucleotides long. RefSeq lists it as uncharacterized. Lineage: Eukaryota; Metazoa; Chordata; Mammalia; Rodentia; Cricetidae. The record is from RefSeq and is a predicted model, not a curated record. The transcript has 2 exons.
UGUGGCCGCAAGGGGGGGGCGGUGGCUCCGCAGGGCCUCCGGAGUAGCAGGUGUUUCUGUGGUUACCGCUUGUUUACGCUGUAAACAGCCCAUUUCCUGAGGACCAGUCCCUCCCUCUGCCAUCCAUCUCCAACUUCAAGAAAAAGUAGCUAGCACCCCAAAUCAUUCCGCUCUUACUGCCUCCCAGAUUUUCUUUGUAAAGACAAGUUUGUAUCUGAGCAAUUUAAAAGUGAGUGGAGGUUUUAGGAUCCCCGGAGGCAAAAUUGCUUCAGGGCUGCGCCUCCCACCUGACCCCAAGUGCAAGAAGGUCCUUUGAAGUCUAGACAAGAAGUCAUCCAUUCCUCUCCUGGUCAACAGGUCUACACAUGACAACUGCAAGGUGACCCAGCUGAUGUGAUGGCGAUUGUUUAUCUUGGAAGAUAGUAUUAACUAACACCACCUUAAUGGAAGAUCAAUCAGGCCACAUGAUCCUUCCAAUCCCAGGCCAUCCUGAAAAGCCCUCCCCCCAAGAAUCCCUGUAGAAGCCCGCCUCCGGCUCAGUCCUCCAUGGCUGCUUCUCCCCAGCAGAGGCAGCCACCCUCUUGUGUCUCUCCCAAUAAAUCUCUUGAGUGAGGUUUGUUGUUA